Molecule: long non-coding RNA, 1019 nt
Organism: Talpa occidentalis (Iberian mole)
Lineage: Eukaryota; Metazoa; Chordata; Mammalia; Eulipotyphla; Talpidae
Exons: 3
Source: RefSeq, a predicted model, not a curated record
CCUGCGGCCGCUGCUCCCACAAGCCCCGCCCCGCCGCUCUUGCUGAGCACUGAUUGGACAGCCGCUUGCGCAAGCGCACUCGCCUUCCGUUGUACGUUGGUGGAAAUGAAAUCAGGAAUCAUGGAGAGAAAUGGAAUCCUACCUGGAGUCAAGUGGCUAAGGCUGACAGUGCUGGCCCCGAGAUGAAUGCCUCCACCUCCUGUGUCCAGGCAGCAGCACAGAAGACCCAUUUGAUAGCACAGACAUAUAUCUCACAAUUAAAUUUUUUCAAACCAAGAGGUGACAGACUGACCUUAACAAAUUCUGUGAAAGAUAUGGCGCUAUCUCCAUCCUGAUCGGCCUCCUGGAUGGUCCUAUCUGCAAUGCUGCCCAGCUGUUCAUCAGAGAUAUUCACUCCAACCAUCAUGCGUAGCACCUGCAGGACCAAGAGCCAGGGCUUAGGGGUAUUUCCCUUCAAUGAAAGAUAAAGCCACCCCACCCUCUUUCCCUUGGAUAUCCUCACACAUAACAGGCAGCAAACUGAGACCCUUAUCUUCUAAUCUAAGUCAUCCCACAUGACGAUGUGAACAGAACUCUCUGGCAAGCAAGAACUUUCUGGAUAGGAAGGCACAGUAUCACUUGGAAGAGUUCUUUCCUUUUUGCACUUCUCCAUUCUUCCUGACCAGGAGGUAGCUUUGAUGCCCAAUGGCACAGCAGCCAUCCUGAGACCAGGAAGUGAAAGUCUUAUGUGCUAUGGAAUAAAGAAGCCUGGUUCCUAGACAUCAUGUGGGCACUGUACUAACCUCGACAAUCUAUCCCUAGAUUUCUUGUUGCUCGAGAAAAACUAGUUCAUUAUUAGUUUAAUGCAGUUUGGUAGGGGUUUUCUGAAAUCCCAGUUGCCUAAGAUGGAACAUUAACCUAACUAUUCCUAAAGUGUAAUGAAGAAAUAAAGGUUGUUGGAAGGUUAAAUACUAAAGCUCCCUUUCCAGAGAAAUAAUAAACACAUUGAAAGAAGGCUGUGAGAACUACAAUAAAGAGAA